UCAAAAGAGGAAAGAUUUGACUGAUUGCAACCUCUUAUGCUGAAACAUCGGCGUAAAAAAAUGCUAAAGGCAGUACU
Molecule: non-coding RNA, 77 nt
Organism: Leeuwenhoekiella blandensis MED217
Lineage: Bacteria; Pseudomonadati; Bacteroidota; Flavobacteriia; Flavobacteriales; Flavobacteriaceae
Source: Rfam